This 447-nucleotide ribosomal RNA is filed under the name uncultured bacterium. Its description in RNAcentral is "bacterial SSU rRNA". It matches the Rfam family "Bacterial small subunit ribosomal RNA", at positions 355 to 825 of the family's 1533-position model. The record is from RNAcentral.
UAACGAAUCUUCCGCAAUGGGCGAAAGCCUGACGGAGCAAUGCCGCGUGUGGGAUGAAGCGCCUUCGGCGUGUAAACCACUGUCAGGGAAUGGAACCAAUGAUUAUUCCCAAAGGAAGUGGCGACUAACUCUGUGCCAGCAGUCGCGGUAAUACAGAGGCCCCAAGCGUUAUCCGGAAUCACUGGGCGUAAAGGGUGUCGAGGCGGUUGUAUUAGUCGUUCGUAAAAUCUACGAGCUUAACUUGUAGGCGGCGAACGAAACGGUACGACUUGAGGUUUGGAGAGGUGCGUGGAACUCACGGUGUAGGGGUGAAAUCCGUUGAUAUCGUGGGGAACACCAAAGGCGAAGGCAGCGCACUGGCCAAAAUCUGACGCUCACACACGAAAGCUAGGGUAGCGAAGAGGAUUAGAUACCCAAGUAGUCCCUGAGCGGGCUGGCAAGGCGCAU